GACGUAGGGCGCGAGCGUUGUCCGGAUUUAUUGGGCGUAAAGAGCUCGUAGGCGGCUUGUCGCGUCGUUCGUGAAAACCUGCAGCUCAACUGCAGGCUUGCGGUCGAUACGGGCAGGCUAGAGUUCGGUAGGGGAGACGUGGAAUUCUGGUGUAGCGGUGAAAGUGCGCAGAUAUCAGGAGGAACACCGGUGGCGAAGGCGGGUCUCUGGGCCGAUGACUGACGCUGAGGAGCGAAAGCGUGGGGAGCGAACAGG
Molecule: ribosomal RNA, 255 nt
Filed under: uncultured bacterium
Lineage: Bacteria
Description: partial 16S ribosomal RNA
Rfam family: Bacterial small subunit ribosomal RNA
Source: RNAcentral